This is a long non-coding RNA of Cryptomeria japonica (Japanese cedar), 2283 nucleotides long. RefSeq lists it as uncharacterized. The record is from RefSeq and is a predicted model, not a curated record. The transcript is spliced from 9 exons. NCBI's taxonomy places the organism in Eukaryota, Viridiplantae, Streptophyta, Pinopsida, Cupressales, Cupressaceae.
UGAGAAACAUAUUUCUUUUGUGUAGGCCACGGGUUUUGGCCAUUUUCAACGCCAAAACCUGUGGAACAAUAGCAAGGAGAAGCCAAAAAAGAAUAGAACUCGCACGGGUUUGGAGCUAUUUUUUAUUUUCCCAACAUCAAGAGCAAUUUUCAACAAUGGCACCCCGUCGAACGGGUAAGGUUUGAUUUGUUUGAUUAUUUUUCUUUGCAUUUUAAUUAAAUUAGGGUUUUUUAAUUUAUUUAAGUUUUGUUUUUAUUAAUUUGAUGUCAAAUUCUUCAAGCAAUCCCCAAAAACGAAAUAGACAACAAAGACCUCUUCCUACACAAGCAACACAAGAAAACCCUAUUAACAUUGCACAAGAGCAACAAGAAAACCCUCAAAGUCCUGAAAAUGUUGCUCUUCAACAACCACCGCCACCCCGAAACCCUCCACAUCCUCCAUUAGAUCAUGUAGAUGUCACACAAGAUGAUCUCAUCAAUCGCCUUACACAAAAUAGUGCCCAAAUUUCUAUAUUGGUGAAUAGAUUGAGGGCCUCUAGGCUUGAGCACCACUCAACCCUUGCCAGAACACUAGAAACAAUGGCUAAUAGUGCAAAUGAGGUAUCUAGGGAGGUUACGAAAUGGGGUUCAUGGAGGGAUAGAUGUCGAACAUUUUAUGCGGAUGGGUUGUCAUAUGAUCAAGUGAAGAAAAAGGGCAUAGGUAAAGCUGACAUAUGUGCUAUUUUCAUCGAUCCCGUUAUCAUUAACAACCUAGAACUAAAUACGACUCGGUUUCCUAUACAUUGGUGUGUUCAUGCUAGGUUGAAAGAAGCUUUUUAGGAUAGGUGGUAUAUGGUCUUUGACCAACCACCUUGUAAUAAUUGGGAGGUGCCUUUAUAUUUUUUUGAGAAAGUUGUAUUGUGAGUUUGUCCUCGGCGAGAAGCCGAAUUAAUUUGACAUCCGACAAUUUCAGGGUAGAGGGAGAGGCUCUGCGUAGGAUAGACCUAGGGCCCAUAGGAUGGUAGACCCACAACAUAGGAGGCGUACAGCUCUUAAACACAUGGUUCAUGUCAUUGUCCCUAUAUCCUUGAAGGAAUCUAUGGAAUUACAAACUCUUCAGGCAGCUACAUCAUUGACUGAUGUCAUUGUUCAGCAUGGCACACAGCUGGUUGGAGCAGAGGAUGUACCAGCACCUGCAGCACCUCCUUCAUCAGCUACACCUCCUUCAUCAGCAACACCUCCUUCCUCAACGGCACCUCCUUCAUCAGCAGCACCUCAUGCAUCAUUUGGCACGAGCCAACCCAUUCAGCAUAUGUGCCCACCUGCCAGGGUGUCUGUUUUGGGGUAGACACUAACGCGGAUGAGGAUGGUGGGACAUCUCAUUCGUGUACAUGUUGCAGGAGUAGAUGCCAUGCUUCCACUGCAUAGGAUGUGGCCCUCACCGACAAACUGCUCAAUAUGUUGUACCCUCUCUAUCAGACACAGGGUGCAAUAGGUGGUGGGAGUAUACCACAUACUGUUCAGUUGACUCCACGGUCACAAGUAGUUUCGCCACCAGAGGGCUUAUCAGUGGCUGAGAUGUCCCAACUUGAUGAUAUCACGCUUUCAGCCAUUGACUUUGGCCAAGAUAGCUAUGCGUUUACCCCACUUGCCUCAAGGACAUCUCGUGUCAGAAAGCCAUCCUCUAGCACUUCGAGGUAGAAAAAUAUAUCCUCUCGGACACCCAAACGACAUAAGAAACAUAUGGGGUUUACGGAAUUAAUGAAUGCACCUGAUGUUGAUGAGGUUCAACAGAGGGAAGAGGCCCCUUCCAAACUUCCUACUGUUAUUCUACCAUUCCAUUUCAAUAGAAGUCCUACACAUAUAUUAUAGGAUCCAACACGACCAAGGCAAAAGGAAAUGGUCGUAACUGAUCCAUCUGUGACUUUGCCUCCUACGACCACAUCACAUCCAUCUGAGGCUCCGUUACAGCCUCCUUCAGGACAUCCCACGGAUCUUCAGCCUCACCGAAUUGCAGAAGACAGAGAUGAGCCACCUGCAGAGUCACGUACUGCUUCGAAGAGGCUCGAUUUUGAUGAUCCGCCAGAGUCAUAGAUACCGCUAGAGACAUAUAGUCAUAGUUGUGGUCAUUGAAGGACCAAUUUUUUAUAUAUUCGACAUUUGUAUAUGUAUAUAUCGACUUUGACAGACAUGGCACAUGCCACAUUUUUGUAACUAUUAUUGAUUUGGCAUCUGUGCCAUUUUUUGAUAUAUGUACACGAUUAUUGUUCAUUUUUAUAAAUAUGAAACUUGAUAUUCGAUCCAA